This 415-nucleotide small RNA is filed under the name Pan troglodytes (chimpanzee). RNAcentral's name for it is "processed transcript". The record is from RNAcentral. Lineage: Eukaryota; Metazoa; Chordata; Mammalia; Primates; Hominidae.
CAGACUCAGCCCAAGUCUCCAUGUCCAUCACCUGGGACACUGUCUGAGGAACUCUGUGAGGAGAGCCUUUUCCACAGAGAAAUGAGAGCACCCUCAGACCUUUUCCUCUAAAUGAAGUGCUUGCUGAAUGAGGAAUGGGACUUUCCAACAUCUUUUGGAAAGAUACUUUUUUUCCAUUAUGCAUCAACCUGAAAAGCUUUCAGAUAUGUAAUAACAAGAAAGAGAGACAGCGAGAUCUAUGGAGAAUGCCUUCGGGUGCUGAAGUGCUGAAGUGCUACCUGGCUUUAAGCAAGAUUGCUGAAACCUGUAGUUUUUAUAGCUUAUAAACUCAGUUGAUGUUUCCCAUUCAUGGAGGAUACUGGUACCAGAAGAUUGGAUUGUGUAAUUGUGUUAGCUUCCUGCAUAUUUGGGUAAA